The sequence is a ribosomal RNA, 1380 nucleotides long. It matches the Rfam family "Eukaryotic large subunit ribosomal RNA", at positions 1 to 1278 of the family's 3401-position model.
UACGGGUUACCCUGUAGUUCCUGAAAACCAUUGGCGGAGUCAGGGAGCACUCUAAGCGUAUUACACAAUCUUUUUGUCUCGCUUUGGAUAUUGCCCCGCCUCCACGCCGUAAAACCCCCCAUAUCAAAUGUUGACCUCGGAUUAGGUAGGAAUACCCGCUGAACUUAAGCAUAUCAAUAAGCGGAGGAAAAGAAACCAACAGGGAUUGCCCUAGUAACGGCGAGUGAAGCGGCAACAGCUCAAAUUUGAAAUCUGGCCCUCGUGGUCCGAGUUGUAAUUUGUAGAGGAUGCUUUUGGUGCGGUGCCUUCCGAGUUCCCUGGAACGGGACGCCAGAGAGGGUGAGAGCCCCGUACGGUUGGACACCUACCCUAUAUAUAGCUCCUUCGACGAGUCGAGUAGUUUGGGAAUGCUGCUCUAAAUGGGAGGUAAAUUUCUUCUAAAGCUAAAUACCGGCCAGAGACCGAUAGCGCACAAGUAGAGUGAUCGAAAGAUGAAAAGCACUUUGAAAAGAGGGUUAAAUAGCACGUGAAAUUGUUGAAAGGGAAGCGUUUGCGACCAGACUUUUUCCAGGGGGAUCAUCCGGUGUUCUCACCGGUGCACUCCGCCUGGUUUAGGCCAGCAUCGGUUCUCUUAGGGGGAUAAAGGCUUGGGGAACGUAGCUCCUUCGGGAGUGUUAUAGCCCCUUGCGUAAUACCCUUCGGGGGACCGAGGAUCGCGCUCUGCAAGGAUGCUGGCGUAAUGGUCGUCAACGACCCGUCUUGAAACACGGACCAAGGAGUCGAACAUUUGUGCGAGUGUUUGGGUGUUAAACCCUCACGCGUAAUGAAAGUGAACGGAGGUGAGAGCCCUUACGGGUGCAUCAUCGACCGAUCCUGAUGUCUUCGGAUGGAUUUGAGUAAGAGCAUAACUGUUCGGACCCGAAAGAUGGUGAACUAUGCGUGGAUAGGGUGAAGCCAGAGGAAACUCUGGUGGAGGCUCGCAGCGGUUCUGACGUGCAAAUCGAUCGUCAAAUCUGCGCAUGGGGGCGAAAGACUUAUCGAACCAUCUAGUAGCUGGUUACCGCCNAAGUUUCCCUCAGGAUAGCAGUGUUGUUUUCAGUUUUAUGAGGUAAAGCGAAUGAUUAGGGACUCGGGGGCGCUAUUUAGCCUUCAUCCAUUCUCAAACUUUAAAUANNUAAGAAGCCCUUNUUACUUAAUUGAACGUGGGCAUUCGAAUGUAUCANCACUAGUGGGCCAUUUUUGGUAAGCAGAACUGGCGAUGCGGGAUGAACCGAACGCGGGGUUAAGGUGCCAGAGUGGACGCUCAUCAGNCACCACAAAAGGUGUUAGUACAUCUUGACAGCAGGACGGUGGCCAUGGAAGUCGGAAUCCGCUAAGGAC